UGUGCUUCAAGGAGACACUUUGUAUGACAUUGUGGAACGCUCGGACAUUGAUAUUGUUCAAUCGAACCUGGACAUUGAAAGCAACUCAUCAUCAGAGAGGAGCUUUAUAUGCUGUAUGCAAACCUCGAAGGCCUUCAAGCUGCAACACGGCAGCUGCUGUUCCAUGCUGGUCAGAGGGAGCUUCCAGUCUGUCCCUCAGCCUUGCCCGUCCUCCUCUUCAGCCUGUCCCACCAACCAGCCUCUGUUUGUGGCCCUCUGCACCCCCACGGUCGAGCGCCUGCAGAACACUGACUCCCACUUCUGUCACAGCUUCCACAGCGUCCACAGACUCGAUAUGACUUUCACUCAGCUGUCGGACAGGUACAUUCAUAGAUCCUCGUGUAAACAGAUAUAAUCAAUAUGUUCUCGUACUGGUUGCUGACAAACAUUUUUAUGUCUUUCUGUUUCAGUGUUUUAUAUUUUUUGGGGUAUUCGGCAGAAGAACUGACCGGUCGAUCGUGGUACAGUCUCGUCCACCCUGAAGAUCUUUCUUUGAGUGCAGAAUUGUCAUAGAAGUUUAAUGCAGGCAGACGAGGGCUUCCAGGUAGAGGUGGUGCUCAGACUCCAGUGCAAGGAUCUGACGUGGACGUGGAUCUACAUUCAAGCUAACAAGGACUCUGAGUGCCAGAGUGUGAGCUGCACUAACUUCAUCAUCAGGUAUGAUGAACAACACUUUUCCCGCACAUCUGAGCUGACAGUGUAAGAAAUGUUUUUCAAGUCACAAACAUCGACUUAAUGCAUCGUUUUGCUCUUCCAGUGAAACAGAGGCCAGAUUUCUUCAAGAGAAAAUCAUCAGCGAUGCCUCAAGGCCAUCCUCUCAACAGGCACCCCACGCUCAGAGCCACAACACUAAAUGCUUUAAAAGGCAGAGGACGUCUAACAGCCAAAGUGAGGAGCCAGGUGCCAAAGCUAGGAGGGAGUCCGAGGAAGACGUAUACUAUAUGGCGUGCGCCUCCUCCCAAGGUGAUAGCUCACCUGUUCCCCUGGGUGACAGCCCUUCUCUCUUCACCCCUCCCUACAGCCCGGCCUCCUCCAGCUCCCCUCUGCAGCAGGAGGAGCUCAGCCAUGACCUCCUGAUGGAUGUGCAUGGAUACACAGAUCAGCUGCUGUCCUCCCCUGAGUGCUCUCCCCCCUAUUAUUCCUACCCAGAGGCACGGCACACCUGUCACCAAUCACCCUCCGACUCCCUCCCCGUCGCCGCUGCACAAACCUUCGACCGGGAAGCCUUCGGCUCUCUCUCUCCGCUCUCCUCCUCGUCUCCAACCUAUGAUUUCCAAGCUUGUACGGCCGAGGCUCGAUUAGUUCCAGACUGCCUGUCUGUGUCCGACAUGUGUGAGAGCCCAGUGGACUGUGCUCUGCAUCAAGAUGACUUCGGCAUCCUUGAGGAGCCACAAGGGGGCAGCCUUAUCCAGGUGCAUCAUGUUCCCCAACACGUGUUGCCCAUACAUUCCGGACCCCUCACCCCCAACCAAUCGCCCACAUCCACAGAGUCCAACCAUUACAACGAGAAGGAGCAGGCAGAGAUCAGUAUUCUGGCUCAGCAGAUCUCCUCCCUGGCCAGCAGCUUUUCCAUGUAUCACACCCUGAACCUGCUUCAAAAUGUGCCCCAACCUGCACCAACUAACGCCCUGCCCUCAGCCUGCGACUGGCACCAUCACCCUCCUCUCCCUUCAGACGUUCCUCUUAAGCGGGAGCCAGUCCUCGAUGUCGGCGUGUUCGACAGCAUCCUGAAAGACCUGGACAUGGUCACAAGGAAAAGCAGCAUGUGCGGCCCCGGGGCUGUAACAUACAGCUACCAGCAGGGCUUGUUGCACUGCAGGAGUGAGUCCCAUCAGCUGGAGCAGGGGCCACUCGGUCUCUCCCCGACUAUCGCAGAAGACCCGCUGCCUGCAGAGCAGUUCACCUCCACAGAUCCCUUCAGUUUGCAGUUGGGACACCAUGACCAAAACACUGAGUUGCAUCAACUCAACCACUAUAUGCAGAGUGCCCUUCAGCAAGAUGGACUUGCUGAAGAAAACCUGUACUGAAAUAAGUCUGUGACUUACUGUACUCCCACUUGUAUGACAUAUUGUCAGCGCUGAAUUCAAAGACGAAUGCGAGCAAAGACAUUUAAAGGACAUCUUUGCUGAGACACUGUUUCCUCAAAUGACUUAUUUCUGAAUGUAGAAAAGCAACUGAAUUAGAUCAUGCGCUCUUCAAGAUUACAGCUUUGUCUUCAUUUCUCAACACCGCUGUCGACUGUGUUUUAUGUUUUGCUGAUUUUACAUUUUUAUGAAAAAGGUGCUUUUUAAUAAUGUGUCUGACAACUCUUACACACUGGAAUUGAAGUAUAUUUUUCUUCUAAUGCUGAGUGACCACAGUUUACUAUUGAGCACUUUAUCAAUGUCAUUGCCACAAUAAUUUUAUAAAUGAGAAGGCGUGCUGAUUUGAAGGAGUAUUAUGUUGAUUUAAAAAGCUACCUGGACGAGCUUUUACCACAUAAAUCAUUCCUUACAACAAAGAUGCAGUUGGAAAUGUUUGGCUUUAGGUGCCUUAGAAACAUGCAGUCUAGCUAAAAAAGAAUAUUUCCAUUCCUUAUAUCUCAGUUUUCUCAGUGUGCCAUUAAUGCGUUCAUGCUGUUAUGAAUAAAUAAGCAAGAUAAUGAUGAUUGUUACACCUACCUCAACGGUACAUCUGAAUACAUUCCAAGUCUGAAUUUAAUGAAUGAAUGAUAUUUAUUUUGAACAUCACUUCUUACUCUCACUUAAUUGUCUUAAAAUGUUUGUACUUUACUGCAAUGUGAAUCUUAAACUUUAUUUUUUAAUUCAUUCCACAUGACUUUUUUUCACGGUACUGGUACUGCACGUCUAAGUGUUUGUCCUGCAACUUGCUUCAAAUGUUUGAAAUGUAAAUAAAACAAAUGAGAAAUGCAUUGGG
Cottoperca gobio is the source of this 2955-nucleotide long non-coding RNA. The record is from Ensembl. NCBI's taxonomy places the organism in Eukaryota, Metazoa, Chordata, Actinopteri, Perciformes, Bovichtidae.